This 220-nucleotide long non-coding RNA is filed under the name Brassica rapa (field mustard). RNAcentral's name for it is "long non-coding RNA (BRAP_LNC005589)". The record is from RNAcentral. Lineage: Eukaryota; Viridiplantae; Streptophyta; Magnoliopsida; Brassicales; Brassicaceae.
GGCAUUAUUUAAUUGUUUUGUCAAUUAAUUUAGUAAAACUUCAUAAUAUUCCCUAAAUUAGUUGACUAACCACUAAAAAAUCGCUAUUCUCUAGAAAAACGGAGACAACGAAGGUUUCAAACCUCUUUGACCUUCAUCAUAUGUUAGUGAAGGAUGCAACUAUGCAUUAAAAUAGAAUUUUAAUUUUUUUUUAUUUUUUCUCAAAAUCUAUAGGUUAACC